UACAAUCACUAGGGGAGUCCUGACGGACUGAGACGGCGCAGCAGAGCGCCGGACCCUUGGAACCUGAUCUGGGUUAUUCCAGCGGAGGGAAGUGGGAUGAAGCAUUA
Molecule: non-coding RNA, 107 nt
Filed under: Paenibacillus sp.
Lineage: Bacteria; Bacillati; Bacillota; Bacilli; Caryophanales; Paenibacillaceae
Also listed under: 1 other name
Description: TPP sequence
Rfam family: TPP riboswitch aptamer (THI element)
About the family: Vitamin B(1) in its active form thiamin pyrophosphate (TPP) is an essential coenzyme that is synthesised by coupling of pyrimidine and thiazole moieties in bacteria. The previously detected thiamin-regulatory element, thi box was extended, resulting in a new, highly conserved RNA secondary structure, the THI element, which is widely distributed in eubacteria and also occurs in some archaea. Analysis of operon structures identified a large number of new candidate thiamin-regulated genes, mostly transporters, in various prokaryotic organisms.
Source: RNAcentral